GAACAAGGCUUGUGCAGCAACGAUGACUGCUAAUUGUCGUCACCCUGGUUAGACCCCUGGGCUAGUUCG
This 69-nucleotide transfer RNA is filed under the name Callopanchax monroviae. Its description in RNAcentral is "tRNA-Ser". Lineage: Eukaryota; Metazoa; Chordata; Actinopteri; Cyprinodontiformes; Nothobranchiidae. The record is from RNAcentral.